UAUAACCAUCAUUGAGCCCAAAACCUUUGUUGCUAAGUAAGACAAUCGAAUUUGUCCAAGAGCUUCCCAAAACAGCAGCUGGAAAAAUUAAACGGAGUGUCUUGCGGAAACAAGAAUGGAGUGAAGUCAAACGCCGGCUCGACCUUCCCAAAUAAAACAUGUUUCCAUUCUAUGUGGUCCCAUUUUCAUUCAUUGUAUUAUUCCAAGCCAAUUGAUCCCAUUCUAGAAGGUUUUAAGUCCAAUUUAGGGUCCUUGGUCCUUAGGAAAUACUUGAUAGGUGGAUACAAAUGACAAAUUCAGUCUGAACACCUGGCUGACUCUAUGACCAACCAUAAUUGCAUUCAUCACGAAUUUCACCUGUUCAAUUGCUUUUGAAUCAUAAAUACUAUCAUCCACAUUCAUGCUUGUAACUUUAGUUAAUUUUGGAUAUGCUAGCUGUAAUUUUAUUUCCCCCCCUCUGAUUUUAAUGCCUUAUUUUAGUAUAAUUCAAUGAUAUUGCAAAAAACCUUCUCACUGUAGCAUGUAAAAGUCGAUUAAAGGAAUAAGUUUAAAUGCAGCUUUAGAAGUAAGUAAAUGUUUAACACAUUAAAAAAAAUUAAGCAGUUGCUAUUACUUCUACUAAGUGUAUUGUUUGAGCAGUUGAGUGGAUGUUUGUAUUCUUCCACCCUAUCUCUAAUUCCUACCCUUCCUUUAUUGUCUAGUCUGCAAAAAAAAAACACCUUUUUUUAAAGCAAGGUUUGUCUAUACUCAUGUCAGAAUAAGAUGCAAUAAAGAUCUAAAGAAUCUUGUCAGACCAUCCAGGUUAUCACUCCUCUGGAAGACAUAAACCUUGAAGUGCCUUGAAACCUUGAAAUCAUUGUGUGAUUCAGUGUUCUGCCAGUAGCCAUUGGAAAAGCAUGAAACAGGCAGGAGGGAAGAGAAAGCUUUGUUGAAGGAUUGAAAUCCAAGGUCCCAAAAGAUUGAAUUACCUUGCUAAGUAGGAAAAAAAAAUCAAGCUUCAAAGAUGGAUGUCCAGAACUAAUGGGACAAACUUAAAUCUCCAAGACAUCUGACCUUUGAACGCAGGAGUUGAACAUAGCAAAAAAAUAAAAUAAAUCAAGAUAACCAGAACUU
This is a non-coding RNA of Pseudonaja textilis, 1113 nucleotides long. The record is from RefSeq and is a predicted model, not a curated record. Lineage: Eukaryota; Metazoa; Chordata; Lepidosauria; Squamata; Elapidae.